This 58-nucleotide ribosomal RNA is filed under the name Diaporthe phaseolorum. Its description in RNAcentral is "partial 28S ribosomal RNA". Lineage: Eukaryota; Fungi; Ascomycota; Sordariomycetes; Diaporthales; Diaporthaceae. The record is from RNAcentral.
UGACCUCGGAUCAGGUAGGAAUACCCGCUGAACUUAAGCAUAUCAAUAAGACGGAGGA